CCUGUCCAUAUGUGGGGAGAAAUGGCAAAUGCCUCUCCGGGUGACAGCGUCCAGAAACAAGCAGCCUCUCACCCGGUGAGUGUGACAGAAACCUCACCCACAGCCAUGGCUGACAUCUGAGAGGUUUUCCGGGCAGCCUCCUUGAAGAGGUGAAGAUGGGCUCUGAAACAUUGGUAUGAAGGAGGUGAGAAGAGGGGAAAGACCAGUACUGGGGAAAGAGCUUUGAGAACUGAAGGCAGAAGCAGCUUGAAAACUGGAUGUAGCAAAGAUUUUUCCACACUGGGAGGACAGAUAAGCAACUGUGUGCCAGGCAUUGGGUAAUCACUUCCACACUGGAUAUUUCACCUACUCCCUUCCAGCCACCCUAUGAAGGAGCUGCCAACACAUGAGGAAACUGAGGGAGGGUAAGCCUUUUGCCCAAGAUCACACAUCUAGGACGAGGCUCUUUUGAUGGUUCCAUGGAAACCCAUCCAACUUUUUUCAACUAAAGUCCGUGAGUUUGGUGGUCCAGACAACGUUUUCUGAGAACACAAAGUGGAGCUGGACGGGCACUCUGUGAAGCCCCUGCCUUCACUAAAGGAGGCAGCCCUCAGGGAGCCGAGAGGCCAAACUCACUUGUGCCACCACCCCGUUCAGGCUGGGAGCAGGUCUGGACAUCAGACGGCCCUGAUUUCAAGGCUCAGCUCCCCCACUUCCUGGACCUGAGACCACAGGAAAGUUACCUGCUCUCUCUGAGACUCCACUGCCACCUCGAUAAAACAAGGAUAACAAUAUAUAUAAGUUGAAUUAUAUGAAAUUGCCAACUUUCAACCAUUUUUGACCUCCGAAAAAGCAUUUCCAAAUAGUCCAACCUAAAGUCUUCACUGAGUCACUGUACAGAUUCAACAAGUGUACACAGGAAACAAUAAAAGGCACUUUUUAGGAGACUUUCUCUUCCAGACUUCAUUUCGCUAAGGUCAGUAAAGUUAGUUUGCAUUCUCUGCGCACACUUCGCACGCAGCGAAGCCAGCCUGAGGUUAUAUAAGUGUUGGAGAUGACAAUUCAGGGAGACAAUAAGACUAUGUGGAUAAUCAAGAAUCAACAACAAAGGAUCUCCUGAGGCCUUACUGCUCCUGUAUUUUCCCC
This 1125-nucleotide long non-coding RNA is filed under the name Equus caballus (horse). RNAcentral describes it as "lncRNA (ENSECAG00000044428.1)". The record is from RNAcentral. Lineage: Eukaryota; Metazoa; Chordata; Mammalia; Perissodactyla; Equidae.